Molecule: ribosomal RNA, 51 nt
Filed under: Sciadia zelleraria
Lineage: Eukaryota; Metazoa; Arthropoda; Insecta; Lepidoptera; Geometridae
Description: partial 16S ribosomal RNA
Source: RNAcentral
GAAUUAAAAAAUUUUUAUUUAUAUUGAAUAUUAUAUAUAUAUAUAUAUAUA